Molecule: long non-coding RNA, 508 nt
Organism: Sebastes umbrosus (honeycomb rockfish)
Lineage: Eukaryota; Metazoa; Chordata; Actinopteri; Perciformes; Sebastidae
Exons: 2
Source: RefSeq, a predicted model, not a curated record
AGGAGGAAGAGGAAAGAGAAGAAGAGGAGGAGAAGAGGAGGAGAAGAGGAGGAAGAGGAAGAGGAAGAGGAGGAGGAGGAGAAGAGGAGGAAGAGGAAGAGGAAGAGGAAGAAGAGGAAGAGGAGAAGUGGAUAUCAGUUGUUUGAGGUGAAACCAGAGUAAACGUUGGGGGGGGUAAACAGGAAGCUCAUGCUGGGUCGUGGGCGCGGUGGUUGCCAUGACAACACAGCAUCAUCAUUCAGUCACGCUGUAGAAAACCAGACAGGAAAUAUAAGAGAACCCCGGGAUGACCUCUGACCUGUGAUGUCAUCACAGGAGGAGGAGGAAGAGGAGAGGAAGAGGAAGAGUUUUAGGAUAUAAAGCAGGAAGUGUUUGAACGGCAGAUUCUGUCUCAGUUUAAAUAAACACAGAGGUCAGAGGUCAGAGGUCAGAGGGUUCCUUAAGACUCAACCUCCCAGUCUGUGCAGCGCACGCACACACACACACACACACACACUAACACACACAC